GCUAGCUAGCAUGGUAACCACCAUAAGAGGAACAGGAGACACUUUUAUAUUUCCUCUAAAGAAUUCUCAUUACUUGCAAAGCUUUAAAGUGAUGGGAUAAAGGAAAAACAGUCAUGACCCAUGACACUUGGAGGCCAAACAGUAUCAGGAAAAGCAUUAGAACCAAGGGAAAGUGGCUUUGAAACAAAAUGGCUUUUUAAAGGGGUUCCUUGUGGGUCUUGUUUUUUAUUCAGGAUAUUCUACGUUUCUCAUCAAAUGUUGGAAUGACAUUUAUCUUAGCAGGUUCUUAAACUGUGCUGGCUGAUAACACAUUAGCCAGUGCAGGGCACAGACCCAAGUCCUAGGGGACUCCUUGGACCAAUGGACUAUUUUACAAACCAGGGAGGUGGGAGGGAUGGUAUAUUUUUGAUAACCAGACAUUCCAAUGUUUUCCUUAGAGGUCAUGCGCUCCCAUUAAUGUUCUUGUGGAAAACAUCAAGUGUGUUCUUUUCUAUUUUCGUAUAAUUAUUGGGCUUUGCUUACCAACAUCACACUGGCAAAGAAAUACAUUGUAUAAAACUGCAGGAAGACAAAUGUGAAAACUUUCUGUGGGGAAAAAGCUCUUAAGUUUCUUGUCUUCUUUGAAACUGUAGUGCAAAUGUUAUAACAUGCAUAUCAUUUACAGUAUUGAGUCCUGUGCCACUGCUGUACCUGAUGUAUCCAACCUGGAUUAAACAAACUAUGUGCCACAAG
RNAcentral lists this long non-coding RNA (732 nucleotides) under Rattus norvegicus (Norway rat). Its description in RNAcentral is "long non-coding RNA NONRATT015671". Lineage: Eukaryota; Metazoa; Chordata; Mammalia; Rodentia; Muridae. The record is from RNAcentral.